AGCAGCACUCAGCUAAAAGGAAGACUCACAGAACACAGUUGAAGAAGGAAAGUGGCGAUGGACCUCAUCCCAAAUUUGGCGGUGGAAACCUGGCUUCUCCUGGCUGUCAGCCUGGUGCUCCUCUAUCUGAUGAGAGUCCCCAAAUCAGCGAAGAGUCCACUUACUAAACAGACAUAAGGAAAUGAAGUGUCCUGGAAGAAUUCCUGCCUGAACCUCUCAGGAGCAUUUGAGGACAUUUAUCAAGUAUUCACUCCAGGAUUGGGACUAUGAAGACUUCAGCUGCUUUCAGCUAAUCAUUGAGACUUUUCAGGGGUCUCAGAAUAGUCAGGAAAGGACCUGAUGAGUGAAUGCAAUUACUGAUGUUGGAGUUGCUGUUAUUAUUUAUCGUGUACAUAUUACCUCCCUCUCUUGACCAUUCCAGUUCCUGAGUAACUCACCAGCCCUCUGAUCUAUAAAGUCACAAUCCCUGUGACCUGAUUUCUGUUUCACUUUGUAGAUAUGGGACCCGUACACAUGGACUUUUUAAGAGACUGGGAAUUCCAGGGCCCACACCUCUGCCUUUGUUGGGAAAUGUUUUGUCCUAUCGUCAGGGUCUCUGGAAAUUUGACACAGAGUGCUAUAAAAAGUAUGGAAAAAUGUGGGGAACGUAUGAAGGUCAACUCCCUGUGCUGGCCAUCACAGAUCCCGACGUGAUCAGAACAGUGCUAGUGAAAGAAUGUUAUUCUGUCUUCACA
This 734-nucleotide long non-coding RNA is filed under the name Homo sapiens (human). RNAcentral describes it as "HSALNT0126252". Lineage: Eukaryota; Metazoa; Chordata; Mammalia; Primates; Hominidae. The record is from RNAcentral.